GAGGGUAUAGCUCAGUGGAAGAGUACAUGCCUGGCAUGCACAAGGUCCUGGGUUCAGUCCUCAGUACCUCCA
This is a transfer RNA of Camelus ferus (Wild Bactrian camel), 72 nucleotides long. It matches the Rfam family "tRNA". From Rfam's summary of the family: Transfer RNA (tRNA) molecules are approximately 80 nucleotides in length. Their secondary structure includes four short double-helical elements and three loops (D, anti-codon, and T loops). Further hydrogen bonds mediate the characteristic L-shaped molecular structure. tRNAs have two regions of fundamental functional importance: the anti-codon, which is responsible for specific mRNA codon recognition, and the 3' end, to which the tRNAs corresponding amino acid is attached (by aminoacyl-tRNA synthetases). tRNAs cope with the degeneracy of the genetic code in two manners: having more than one tRNA (with a specific anti-codon) for a particular amino acid; and 'wobble' base-pairing, i.e. permitting non-standard base-pairing at the 3rd anti-codon position. NCBI's taxonomy places the organism in Eukaryota, Metazoa, Chordata, Mammalia, Artiodactyla, Camelidae. The record is from Rfam.